UACAGAGGUCUCAAGCGUUGUUCGGAUUCAUUGGGCGUAAAGGGUGCGUAGGUGGCGCGGUAAGUCGGGUGUGAAAUUUCGGAGCUUAACUCCGAAACUGCAUUCGAUACUGCCGUGCUUGAGGACUGGAGAGGAGACUGGAAUUUACGGUGUAGCAGUGAAAUGCGUAGAUAUCGUAAGGAAGACCAGUGGCGAAGGCGAGUCUCUGGACAGUUACCGACGCUGAGGCACGAAGGUCAGGGGAGCAAACGGG
RNAcentral lists this ribosomal RNA (253 nucleotides) under uncultured bacterium. Its description in RNAcentral is "partial 16S ribosomal RNA". It matches the Rfam family "Bacterial small subunit ribosomal RNA", at positions 524 to 776 of the family's 1533-position model. The record is from RNAcentral.